Molecule: ribosomal RNA, 585 nt
Filed under: Triticum aestivum (bread wheat)
Lineage: Eukaryota; Viridiplantae; Streptophyta; Magnoliopsida; Poales; Poaceae
Description: partial small subunit ribosomal RNA
Source: RNAcentral
AUGUCUGGUUCCGACCUUCGAGGCCGAUGGAUGCCCUCCUCCGUCACGGAGGAGGAUGUGCUGAAGUUGAGAGAGGCCAGGUUCUUGACCGGCGAAAUCUCGCAUAGGCUGCCUGCUCAAGGGCAAGUCAUUCUCACUCCCAAGCCCGGUGAGAGUGUGGUGUUCAUGUCUCACUUCCUUCGGGGGCUAGGCUUCCCGACGGAUCCCUUCGUGAGGGGGCUCAUGUAUUAUUAUGGGCUGGAAUUUUACGACUUAGCCCCGGAGUCCAUCCUCCAUAUUUCCUCAUUCAUCGCUGUGUGUGAAGCCUUCCUCCGUAUCACUCCUCACUUCGGACUAUGGCUCAAGACCUUCAAAGUAGAGCCGAAGAUGAUCGAGGGACGGCACGCGGAGUGCGGAGGUGCUUUUAUAAGCAAGAAUGCUGGUACUCCAUGGCCCAAGGGCUCUUUUCAAGAGGAGUCCAGCUUAUGGCAACGAGAGUGGUUUUAUAUUACCGCUCCCAGGCCCCCUAAGUGGGUGGCGCCACCUGCCUUUCGCUCGGGUCCCCCGCCACGACUGGCGUCAUGGGUCAAUAUGGGGCUGGACUAG